CGACGUGGAGAACCUGCCGUAUACUGGGGGAUAACACUUAGAAAUAGGUGCUAAUACCGCAUAAGCGCACAGCUUCGCAUGAAGCAGUGUGGAAAACAAAAAGCUAAAGCUUUUGGUGGUAUACGAUGGAUCCGCGUCUGAUUAGCUAGUUGGCGGGGUAAAGGCCCACCAAGGCGACGAUCAGUAGCCGGCCUGAGAGGGUGAACGGCCACAUUGAGACUGAGACACGGCCCAAACUCCUACGGAAGGCAGCAG
Molecule: ribosomal RNA, 255 nt
Filed under: uncultured bacterium
Lineage: Bacteria
Description: partial 16S ribosomal RNA
Rfam family: Bacterial small subunit ribosomal RNA
Source: RNAcentral